GAGGCCCACAGCUGGAAGUUUUAAUCCAGUAGACCUCAGGAGGGUGAAGGGAUGAAGGAUGGGUGAGGCACCCCCGCCCAUGCUGCAGGAACUUGCCCCCUCUAGACGUCUGGGGACACUGGAGGGCGUGACCCCGGGCAGUGCCUCCCUGCGCCCUGGCCGAUGCUCACAUGGCUGCUCCUUCUGCUCAGCCUGCCUGGCCUGAAUCCUUAGCACAGGCAGCAACAGUCCCUUGGAGGUGGCUUCCAGAUGAGACCAGUUUGUUGUGCCCAGUCUGGAGUGUCCAGGAAGGGUAUUGAAGAAGUGGGGUUGUAUCACAGGCCACAAAUUCAACAAGAAGGAGAGCCCCACAGUAUCCUGAGUCUCAGGUUUCACUCUGUUGGGUCAUGCAGACUUGUUUACUGACCACAGAGGGGCAACAGACAAAGGUGAUCGUAGAAUUUUUCAUUUUUGGCCUGAGAGGGUGGAUUGUUAUCUGUAAUUUACCUACUAGUUAAGAGAAUGCUAUUCGUCACUACAUUUUGUAGAAUGUAACUGUCACUGGAACAGUUUUGUGGUUAAUUUUUUUUUUUAGCCACUCAGAUGACCAGCGUCUGUCCAUGAACCAGUUACUUAUACAUGUUGGACCUAUUAAUUAAGGCCAGAUCAAUCAUGUUCUGUCAGCGGCAGGGCGCAGGGAUGGGUUCCACCUAGCUCCUCAGGGUCCAGGUGGCCAGCCACUCUGCCAGCCUCAGUGUCUUCCAAGAUCACUGGGGUGUUGAUAGCCAGGAGGCAGACAGCAGAGACAGUGGGAGGGAGAGGAUCGCCAGGAAGUUUAAUAGGUCGUUGGUAGAGGCACCUUGGCCAGUGCACAGUUCUCUGACCUGCACAUCCGGUCACAUGUUUGUACUCAGCUGUCAGAGACUGGGAAACAGAGCCUGGCAUGCUCAGGGAGACAGUGAGCAGCUAGCAGAGUUCCUUGGGGCUAGGAGGGACUGUGGCAUGCCAAGAAAUAGGGGGCACCUCAGAACCCAAAGUGGGGGUGCUUCAGCCAAUGGCGUAUAAUCUUGGAAUUCCUGGGUUGUUCUCAC
This 1070-nucleotide long non-coding RNA is filed under the name Marmota monax (woodchuck). The record is from RNAcentral. Lineage: Eukaryota; Metazoa; Chordata; Mammalia; Rodentia; Sciuridae.